AAAUAUCUUCAGGGCAGGGUGUAAUUCCCGAUCGGCGGUAUAGUCCGCGAACGUUGUACAGGCGUUGAUUUGGUGCAAUUCCAAAACCGACAGUAUAGUCUGGAUGAAAGAAGAUAUGA
Molecule: regulatory RNA element, 119 nt
Organism: Megasphaera sp.
Lineage: Bacteria; Bacillati; Bacillota; Negativicutes; Veillonellales; Veillonellaceae
Rfam family: FMN riboswitch aptamer (RFN element)
About the family: The RFN element is a highly conserved domain that is found frequently in the 5'-untranslated regions of prokaryotic mRNAs that encode for flavin mononucleotide (FMN) biosynthesis and transport proteins.
Source: Rfam